Molecule: ribosomal RNA, 1519 nt
Filed under: Lacticaseibacillus paracasei
Lineage: Bacteria; Bacillati; Bacillota; Bacilli; Lactobacillales; Lactobacillaceae
Description: bacterial SSU rRNA
Rfam family: Bacterial small subunit ribosomal RNA
Source: RNAcentral
GCUCAGGAUGAACGCUGGCGGCGUGCCUAAUACAUGCAAGUCGAACGAGUUCUCGUUGAUGAUCGGUGCUUGCACCGAGAUUCAACAUGGAACGAGUGGCGGACGGGUGAGUAACACGUGGGUAACCUGCCCUUAAGUGGGGGAUAACAUUUGGAAACAGAUGCUAAUACCGCAUAGAUCCAAGAACCGCAUGGUUCUUGGCUGAAAGAUGGCGUAAGCUAUCGCUUUUGGAUGGACCCGCGGCGUAUUAGCUAGUUGGUGAGGUAAUGGCUCACCAAGGCGAUGAUACGUAGCCGAACUGAGAGGUUGAUCGGCCACAUUGGGACUGAGACACGGCCCAAACUCCUACGGGAGGCAGCAGUAGGGAAUCUUCCACAAUGGACGCAAGUCUGAUGGAGCAACGCCGCGUGAGUGAAGAAGGCUUUCGGGUCGUAAAACUCUGUUGUUGGAGAAGAAUGGUCGGCAGAGUAACUGUUGUCGGCGUGACGGUAUCCAACCAGAAAGCCACGGCUAACUACGUGCCAGCAGCCGCGGUAAUACGUAGGUGGCAAGCGUUAUCCGGAUUUAUUGGGCGUAAAGCGAGCGCAGGCGGUUUUUUAAGUCUGAUGUGAAAGCCCUCGGCUUAACCGAGGAAGCGCAUCGGAAACUGGGAAACUUGAGUGCAGAAGAGGACAGUGGAACUCCAUGUGUAGCGGUGAAAUGCGUAGAUAUAUGGAAGAACACCAGUGGCGAAGGCGGCUGUCUGGUCUGUAACUGACGCUGAGGCUCGAAAGCAUGGGUAGCGAACAGGAUUAGAUACCCUGGUAGUCCAUGCCGUAAACGAUGAAUGCUAGGUGUUGGAGGGUUUCCGCCCUUCAGUGCCGCAGCUAACGCAUUAAGCAUUCCGCCUGGGGAGUACGACCGCAAGGUUGAAACUCAAAGGAAUUGACGGGGGCCCGCACAAGCGGUGGAGCAUGUGGUUUAAUUCGAAGCAACGCGAAGAACCUUACCAGGUCUUGACAUCUUUUGAUCACCUGAGAGAUCAGGUUUCCCCUUCGGGGGCAAAAUGACAGGUGGUGCAUGGUUGUCGUCAGCUCGUGUCGUGAGAUGUUGGGUUAAGUCCCGCAACGAGCGCAACCCUUAUGACUAGUUGCCAGCAUUUAGUUGGGCACUCUAGUAAGACUGCCGGUGACAAACCGGAGGAAGGUGGGGAUGACGUCAAAUCAUCAUGCCCCUUAUGACCUGGGCUACACACGUGCUACAAUGGAUGGUACAACGAGUUGCGAGACCGCGAGGUCAAGCUAAUCUCUUAAAGCCAUUCUCAGUUCGGACUGUAGGCUGCAACUCGCCUACACGAAGUCGGAAUCGCUAGUAAUCGCGGAUCAGCACGCCGCGGUGAAUACGUUCCCGGGCCUUGUACACACCGCCCGUCACACCAUGAGAGUUUGUAACACCCGAAGCCGGUGGCGUAACCCUUUUAGGGAGCGAGCCGUCUAAGGUGGGACAAAUGAUUAGGGUGAAGUCGUAACAAGGGUAACCG